Long non-coding RNA from Fundulus heteroclitus (mummichog), 1265 nucleotides. RefSeq lists it as uncharacterized. The transcript is spliced from 3 exons. The record is from RefSeq and is a predicted model, not a curated record. Lineage: Eukaryota; Metazoa; Chordata; Actinopteri; Cyprinodontiformes; Fundulidae.
UGUGUCCUGAUAAAGACAUUCUGUUUUUAAACAACAUAGGUUAAACAGAUCUGUUAGGUUAUUUCUAUGAAUUACAUAUGCAUAUUAAACUGUUCUACCUCUUGAUUAAUGUUUUCUCACUUGCAGCCAAAUCUGGAACCGGGGUAAGAUGGGUUUUCAAUAGACAUGUAGCAGCAGGCCGGUAAACCCAAUCUUUAACAGGACCCAGACCAGCAUGGACUUUAGAAACAUCACUGGGCUUACACAACAAUACCUCUUUUUUUGUUGUUGUUUGAUUUUUAUAAAAUUCAAAAGAUGCCACGUCAUCCAUGCAUUUAUUUCAGCAAUACAAUCCAGAAAGUGCAUUAUGGAGAACUGAUUCCCCGGUUUCAGUUGCAUAUAAUUUUGGCUGUCAUCAACAUAGAAAUGAUAGGUGCCAGUAUAUUUACGGAUAAUUAAGCCAGGGGGAAGUAAACAGAGCGAAAACGGUAAAGGGCCGAGAAUUGAGUCUUGAGGAACUCUACAUGUAAGGGGUGCUAUAGAUGACUCGAUGGAACUUAACCAAAGACAAAAACUUUGCCCCGUAAAAUAAGAUUUAAACCACUCUAGAGCAACACCAUGGAUGUCCAUCAAGUCCUCCAAGCAAGGUAAAAUGAUCUGAUUGUCUACUGUAUCAAAAUCGGCUGUUAGAUCCAUCAGCAUUUAGAUAACACUGUCAGGACUCAGCAGGUAGUACUGUGCAGUUUCCUGCCCGCUCUGCCUCCUCUACUCUCUCCGUAGGUGACUGCAGUUGGCAGAUGGGCGUGGCGCGCAGACCUGCGGCUCGUUCAGCAGCGUGCGGCUGCACUAUAAAGACAGCACUCAGACAGCUGGAGGACGCCGAGUGUUAACCUUGAGUGGUUGUCUCACACUCUGGAUCCCUCUCACAGCGCUUUGUCUGGUUCUGACGUCCCAUGUUAAGUCUUCUGGCUCUUGUGUUACCAAGCCUUGGUAACACAGCUACCUUGUGUUACCAAGCCGGGCUGAGGACUCCCACCAGAUCACCCUGGUUCCUCCAGCUGUCUCCGGACCACCUCCCUCGCCGCUGCUGCUCGGGCCCCUCACGGACUCCACCUGCCCACCCCACGGCCGCUCGGUCACCUGCUGCCAUCCCAGGAAGUCUCCCGCUGAGUCCGUCUCUCCACUCCGCUCCCCCCGGAUAGGUCUCAGUGCCCGGCGAUCGCUCAAGCUCGUUCCGCCGCUGCCUUCCCGUGGGAUACCCGCUCAGUCACCCUUCUACAAACCAU